GACGAACGCUGGCGGCGUGCUUAACACAUGCAAGUCGAACGGUAAGGCCCUUCGGGUACACGAGUGGCGAACGGGUGAGUAACACGUGGGUGAUCUGCCCUGCACUUCGGGAUAAGCCUGGGAAACUGGGUCUAAUACCGGAUAGGACCAUGGACUUCACGGUUUGUGGUGGAAAGCUUUUGCGGUGUGGGAUGGGCCCGCGGCCUAUCAGCUUGUUGGUGGGGUAAUGGCCUACCAAGGCGACGACGGGUAGCCGGCCUGAGAGGGUGUCCGGCCACACUGGGACUGAGAUACGGCCCAGACUCCUACGGGAGGCAGCAGUGGGGAAUAUUGCACAAUGGGCGCAAGCCUGAUGCAGCGACGCCGCGUGAGGGAUGACGGCCUCGGUUGUAACU
RNAcentral lists this ribosomal RNA (395 nucleotides) under uncultured bacterium. Its description in RNAcentral is "bacterial SSU rRNA". It matches the Rfam family "Bacterial small subunit ribosomal RNA", at positions 28 to 430 of the family's 1533-position model. The record is from RNAcentral.